This 250-nucleotide ribosomal RNA is filed under the name uncultured bacterium. Its description in RNAcentral is "partial 16S ribosomal RNA". It matches the Rfam family "Bacterial small subunit ribosomal RNA", at positions 809 to 1058 of the family's 1533-position model. The record is from RNAcentral.
AUGUCGACUAGUUGUUCGUGUCAUAAACGAUGUGAGUAACGCAGCUAACGCACUAAGUCGACGCCUGGGGAGUACGGCCGCAAGGUUAAAACUCAAAUGAAUUGACGGGGGCCCGCACAAGCGGUGGAGCAUGUGGUUUAAUUCGAUGCAACGCGAAGAACCUUACCAUCCCUUGACAUCCAGUGAAUUUUCCAGAGAUGGAUUAGUGCCUUCGGGAACACUGAGACAGGUGCUGCAUGGCUGUCGUCAG